This 484-nucleotide ribosomal RNA is filed under the name uncultured bacterium. RNAcentral's name for it is "partial 16S ribosomal RNA". It matches the Rfam family "Bacterial small subunit ribosomal RNA", at positions 30 to 507 of the family's 1533-position model. The record is from RNAcentral.
AUUGAACGCUGGCGGCAGGCCUAACACAUGCAAGUCGAGCGGAUAAAGGGAGCUUGCUCCUGGAUUCAGCGGCGGACGGGUGAGUAAUGCCUAGGAAUCUGCCUGGUAGUGGGGGAUAACGUCCGGAAACGGGCGCUAAUACCGCAUACGUCCUGAGGGAGAAAGUGGGGGAUCUUCGGACCUCACGCUAUCAGAUGAGCCUAGGUCGGAUUAGCUAGUUGGUGGGGUAAAGGCCUACCAAGGCGACGAUCCGUAACUGGUCUGAGAGGAUGAUCAGUCACACUGGAACUGAGACACGGUCCAGACUCCUACGGGAGGCAGCAGUGGGGAAUAUUGGACAAUGGGCGAAAGCCUGAUCCGGCCAUGCCGCGUGUGUGAAGAAGGUCUUCGGAUUGUAAAGCACUUUAAGUUGGGAGGAAGGGCAGUAAGUUAAUACCUUGCUGUUUUGACGUUACCAACAGAAUAAGCACCGGCUAACUUCGUG